RNAcentral lists this ribosomal RNA (569 nucleotides) under uncultured bacterium. RNAcentral's name for it is "bacterial SSU rRNA". It matches the Rfam family "Bacterial small subunit ribosomal RNA", at positions 30 to 642 of the family's 1533-position model. The record is from RNAcentral.
CGUCGCUGGCGGCACGCCUAACACCAUGCAGUUGAACGAAGUAGCAAUACUUAGUGGCAGACGGGUGAGUAACAUGUAGGUAUCUGCCCUUUGGCCGUGGAAUAACACGAGGAAACUUGUGCUAAUACCGGAUAAGUCUUUACGGAGAAAGCUUUAUGCACCAUUGGAUGAGCCUGCACUUGAUUAGUUUGUUGGUGGGGUAAUGGCCUACCAAGACUGUGAUCAAUAGCUGAUUUGAGAGGAUGAUCAGCCACAUUGGGACUGAGACACGGCCCAAACUCCUACGGGAGGCAGCAGUGGGGAAUCUUGCACAAUGGAGGAAACUCUGAUGCAGCGAUGCCGCGUGAGUGAAGAAGGCCCUUGGGCUGUAAAGCUCUUUCGUCGGGGAAGAAAAUGACUGUACCCGAAUAAGAAGGUCCGGCUAACUUCGUGCCAGCAGCCGCGGUAAUACGAAGGGACCUAGCGUAGUUCGGAAUUACUGGGCUUAAAGAGUUCGUAGGUGGUUGAAAAAGUUAGUGGUGAACAUCCCAGAGCUUAACUCUGGAACUGCCAUUAAAACUUUUUCAGCU